RNAcentral lists this ribosomal RNA (717 nucleotides) under uncultured bacterium. RNAcentral's name for it is "bacterial SSU rRNA". It matches the Rfam family "Bacterial small subunit ribosomal RNA", at positions 74 to 766 of the family's 1533-position model. The record is from RNAcentral.
GGGGCUUCGGCCCCUGAGUAGAGCGGCGGACGGGUGAGUAACACGUGGGUAACCUACCUCCGGGCGGGGAAUAACUUCGGGAAACCGGGGCUAAUUCCGCAUAACAUUUCGGGCUCUCAAGAGUCUGUAAUCAAAGCUGGGGACCCUUCGGGGCCUGGCGCCUGGUGAGGGACCUGCGGCCGAUUAGCUUGUUGGUGAGGUAAUGGCUCACCAAGGCUGCGAUCGGUAGCCGGCCUGAGAGGGCGGACGGCCACACUGGGACUGAGACACGGCCCAGACUCCUACGGGAGGCAGCAGUGGGGAAUUUUUGUCAAUGGGGGAAACCCUGAACAAGCAACGCCGCGUGGAGGAUGAAGGCCUUCGGGUCGUAAACUCCUGUCGGAGGGGACGAAAGCGAUUGAGGCUAAUACCCUCAGUUGUUGACGGUACCCUAUGAGGAAGCCCCGGCUAACUCCGUGCCAGCAGCCGCGGUAAUACGGGGGGGGCAAGCGUUGUUCGGAAUUACUGGGCGUAAAGGGCGCGCAGGCGGCCCGGCCAGUCCUUUGUGAAAUCCCACAGCUCAACUGUGGAACUGCAGGGGAUACUGCCAGGCUUGAGUCCGGGAGAGGGGAGUGGAAUUCCCAGUGUAGCGGUGAAAUGCGUAGAUAUUGGGAGGAACACCGGUGGCGAAGGCGGCUCCCUGGACCGGUACUGACGCUGAGGCGCGAAAGCUAGGGG